ACCCUUGGCCACUGAAGACAUAAAUGCAUGCAUCAUCGCUGGCCUUGAUGCAGACCUUGAACCAGUGGUGGCUUCCAUCGUCGACAGAACUCCUUCACCUUCUGUCUUAGAGGUGUAUACUCAACUUCUGAGUUAUGAGA
This is a non-coding RNA of Oryza brachyantha (malo sina), 140 nucleotides long. The record is from Rfam. Lineage: Eukaryota; Viridiplantae; Streptophyta; Magnoliopsida; Poales; Poaceae.